Molecule: ribosomal RNA, 435 nt
Filed under: uncultured bacterium
Lineage: Bacteria
Description: partial 16S ribosomal RNA
Rfam family: Bacterial small subunit ribosomal RNA
Source: RNAcentral
AACGAACGCUGGCGGCAGGCUUAACACAUGCAAGUCGAGCGGGCCUCUUCGGAUGUCAGCGGCAGACGUGUGAGUAACACGUGAGAACGUCCCCUUCGUUGCGGAACAACUCUGGGAAACUGGAGCUAAUACCGGAUACGCCCUUAUGGAGAAAGGUUUACUGCCUAAGGAUCGGCCCGCGUCUGAUUAGCUAGUUGGUGGGGUAACGGCCUACCAAGGCGACGAUCAGUAGCUGGUCUGAGAGGAUGAUCAGCCACACUGGGACUGAGACACGGCCCAGACUCCUACGGGAGGCAGCAGUGGGGAAUAUUGGACAAUGGGCGAAAGCCUGAUCCAGCCAUGCCGCGUGAGUGAUGAAGGCCUUAGGGUUGUAAAGCUCUUUUGUCCGGGACGAUAAUGACGGUACCGGAAGAAUAAGCCCCGGCUAACUUCGUG